This 252-nucleotide long non-coding RNA is filed under the name Vigna radiata. RNAcentral describes it as "long non-coding RNA (VRAD_LNC018049)". Lineage: Eukaryota; Viridiplantae; Streptophyta; Magnoliopsida; Fabales; Fabaceae. The record is from RNAcentral.
GGUGAAUCCCUAGCAUGUUUGUCGUAGCGAUGAACACUUUACGCACUCCAUACCUUGCUAUCUUUGUCAUAACCACCAUUGGGUCAUUUUGAUCGGGGUCGAGAGCUUUGAAGUCCUCAUAUUCCCUCAUCCUCAACCACUUUCUCCCUAACAGCCCUGGUCGCACUCUCCGCUCUUAGGGCGGUCAACUCUCCCUCGUAGCAUUGUUGCAUUUCUAACAUCUAUUGUUGUAGUGCUCUAAUCAUUUUGGUC